Molecule: ribosomal RNA, 388 nt
Filed under: uncultured bacterium
Lineage: Bacteria
Description: bacterial SSU rRNA
Rfam family: Bacterial small subunit ribosomal RNA
Source: RNAcentral
GACGAACGCUGGCGGCGUGCUUAACACAUGCAAGUCGAGCGGUAAGGCCCUUUCGGGGGUACAUGAGCGGCGAACGGGUGAGUAACACGUGGGUGACCUGCCCUCAGCUCUGGGAUAAGCCUGGGAAACUGGGUCUAAUACUGGAUAUGACUCCACGGUGCAUGUCGUGGGGUGGAAAGCCUUGUGCGGCUGAGGAUGGGCCCGCGGCCUAUCAGCUUGUUGGUGGGGUGAUGGCCUACCAAGGCGACGACGGGUAGCCGGCCUGAGAGGGCGACCGGCCACACUGGGACUGAGACACGGCCCAGACUCCUACGGGAGGCAGCAGUGGGGAAUCUUGCGCAAUGGGCGAAAGCCUGACGCAGCGACGCCGCGUGAGGGAUGACGGCCU